Molecule: long non-coding RNA, 321 nt
Filed under: Elaeis guineensis (African oil palm)
Lineage: Eukaryota; Viridiplantae; Streptophyta; Magnoliopsida; Arecales; Arecaceae
Description: long non-coding RNA (EGUI_LNC062628)
Source: RNAcentral
GAAGUCUGUCUGCAGCCGUUGGAGUCGAGGAUGAAGCCCGGCUCCCAUAGGAGUCCGGGCGGAGUCUUCCUUUGAGGUUAGCAUCGUGGGCGGAAUCGUUGAUCGUGUUGAAGACUUCGGCUGUGGGUAUUUUAUACCCAACACAUAUGUUCGUUUGAAAUUAUGAUAUAUAAUGAUACAAAAGUAUUUUCAUACAAAUCAAAUUUUUACUCUCAACCUAACUAUGUUUUAGUGGGCCCCACCAGUGAGGAUUAUAGGUUGGUACUCAGUGGACCCUGCUAGUGGGGUUGUGCACUGGUAUUUAGUGGACCCUGUCAGUAG